This 253-nucleotide ribosomal RNA is filed under the name uncultured bacterium. RNAcentral describes it as "partial 16S ribosomal RNA". It matches the Rfam family "Bacterial small subunit ribosomal RNA", at positions 524 to 776 of the family's 1533-position model. The record is from RNAcentral.
UACGGAGGGGGCUAGCGUUGUUCGGAAUGACUGGGCGUAAAGCGCGCGUAGGCGGAUCAGAAAGUUGGGGGUGAAAUCCCGGGGCUCAACCUCGGAAUGGCCUUCAAAACUCCUGGUCUAGAGUUCGAGAGAGGUGAGUGGAAUUCCGAGUGUAGAGGUGAAAUUCGUAGAUAUUCGGAGGAACACCAGUGGCGAAGGCGGCUCACUGGCUCGACACUGACGCUGAGGUGUGAAAGCGUGGGGAGCAAACAGG